Molecule: long non-coding RNA, 1137 nt
Filed under: Fukomys damarensis (Damara mole-rat)
Lineage: Eukaryota; Metazoa; Chordata; Mammalia; Rodentia; Bathyergidae
Description: lncRNA (ENSFDAG00000033639.1)
Source: RNAcentral
UUCUGCCAAUAUGCCAUAUGCUCAGAAAUGUCUUCCAUAACUACCUUUUCAAAAAGUAACCUCAUGCUCCCCCAGGCUAACGAGGAGAAGCCAAGGAGUUGACCUGCCAGACAUCACCCCCACAGCCUCUAGCCACUGAGCUGCGCAGACAUCUGGACCCACAUCACAGAGGUACAGGAAGGUCAUAAAGGACAUUGUUCUGAGCUCCAGAAGAUAGAGCAGAAAUGAACAACAGAAGGAGGGCCUCUCUCAGGCUUCUCAAUGAAAACUGAAGCGCACUGAAAAAGUGAAGAAAAUCUCUGCAAUAAAGGCACACCAGACCUUUAUUGGUAAGAUGGAGGUCAGAGUCCAGAGUUUUCAUGUCAUUUGCAAAGGAGUUCAAUCAAAAUGGAUGAUCUUCACAAAAGUUGGAGGAAAUCAAGAAGAUACAUUCUACAAAUUCCCUGCUAGUGGAUGCCUCCAAUUUACCAAUGUAGAAACUACAGACCCGGACAAUUAUUUUAUUUAAAAAACUCUCCAGUUGAUUAUGUAUCUGGCAAUAUUCUCUGACCUACCUUGUCUGCUAGUAGAUCAUAAGCCCUGCGUUUUAGAAGAGGUUCUGACUUGUAUCUGAGAAGAAGGAAUGCUGCACAGAGAUGCCAAGAAUAAUCUGUACAGGCAAACCUCCAGUAUCUCCUCAUUCAGUCUGUUAACAUUGAUUAUACUCCUUUUGUAAAAUCACAUUUCUAAACUUUGGGCCAUGCUUUAAUCAUACCUGUGCAAUAAAAUCUGCAUAAAAACCAAGAUCAGAGAGCAGAUUGCCUCUACAUAGCUAAAUAUAUGGGGAGUCCCAGAGGAUGGUGUCCCAGAGAGGACGCAGGAGCUACACUUCCCACAGCCUUGCCCUAUGCAUCUCUUCGUCAUAUGUCUCACUAUCCUUUAUAAUAAAACCAUGAAUGUGUUUCAUGAGUUCUGUAGAUGCUUAGCAAAUUACUCAAACCCAAGGAGAAGACUGUGAGAACUCAGAUAGUUAGCAGGUUGGUCCAAAGCACAGGUAAAAAACAACCUGAAGUAGGGGUAGGGGGCAGAUUGGGGGACUGAGCCCUCGACCUGUGGUAUCUGAUACUGUCUCCAGAUAGUGUCCAAGUUCAAUUGUCC